This is a long non-coding RNA of Varanus komodoensis (Komodo dragon), 9695 nucleotides long. RefSeq lists it as uncharacterized. The transcript is spliced from 2 exons. The record is from RefSeq and is a predicted model, not a curated record. Lineage: Eukaryota; Metazoa; Chordata; Lepidosauria; Squamata; Varanidae.
AAAUAAAUCAAUUUUUAAUUAUUUUUAAAUAAUUGAUUUUUAUUCACCCUGGUUCUGUGUCAAACUUUUAAAUAUAUGAAACCUCUGAGAAAUGCUAUCUGGAGAUAUCAGUUGGUACAAUCAGUAUGCAGGUAAUCCCCAACGUGCUCCUUUUUGUCUGACUGGGGGGGCUGUAAAGACUCUGAACCUGUGGCUACAAUUAGUGAAAGAUUGUAUGCUUUUCUUUGUUUCCAUCUUUAUGGUGUCUUAUGAAGAAAGAGUAUGUGUUCUUAUCACUACUGCUAAUUUUGUUUUAUUUUGCUACUUUCUUAUUGAACUUGUUUAUUUGUGGAUGUUUUGUUUUUACUAUUGGUAUAAGAUAGUGUGUAAUUAAUGUGCUUCAUUGUGUUUUACUAUAUUUGCUUAUGAUUGUUUUGUUCCAGAUUCCUUUGGUGCAUAAGGAAAUAUGUUUUUAUAUAAGAGAAAAAUGGGGACUAGAGCUUCUUAGCCAAUUCUGAUCUCUGCUUGGCUAAAAAUCCCUAUAAUAUAAAUACUGAUGGGAGCUGUUGCUGAAGAGUAAACUACAUUCUUGUUUAGCAUGGAAUUAGAAGUUUAUCAUAAUGUGAAGCAGCAGUUUAUUUCCAUAUGUCAAGCUUUCAUACAUCAGAAGUAUGUUGAGACAAAUUCCAUUUUGCUUGACAGUAAAUCCAUAUAAAUUAGAUUGGCUUCUUGAGAAUAUAGACUGGGUAGACCCAGUCAGAAUCAGGCAUAUGAUGUAGCAGUUUUGUGAUUGCUUCAUCACCUUUUAGUUCAGCCUAGUCUUACUUGCCUCCAUAAGGGCGACAAAAAUGUUUUUGAUAGUGGUGUUAAUAGAAAUAGGGUCAACUCAAUAUGGCGGAGCAAUUGUAUGGCCACUUCACUUUGUGUUUUCAUAGAGUUACCAAUUUUUCAUUCUCAGUCUGUGCUGGUUAAUCAUAUAAAAUGCACUGAGUGCACUUAGUGAGAACAUGAAGUGCAUAGACGUUAUUCCUCUAGCUCUUAAAACCAUUAAAGAAUAGGCCCUUCUCCUGCUAGCUACCUACCUCAGUUCAUUUGGUGGGGGCGCCCAAGAAAAGGAUUGCUACGGAUUAUUUUUGUGCCUGCACAGGAGAAGAUGACGCUUUAGGUAGAUGUUAAGAAAUACAGGGGAUAGGUUGGAAGACAUUGAAACCCACAGUGCCUUAUUUUCUCCUCUCUUGAACAUGCCUAUUGUGUGACACAUGAUUUGCCUAGUUAGCAUUGUCACUUCUCAUGAACUCGGCAAGGUAUAUUUGAAAUCACACCAGAUCCCUACAACAAGCUAGACGUCCUUUGGUGGUUUCAAAGCCACCUGUGCUAUGCACCUGUUUGGGUUUGGAUGACACAAGAAGCUGCAUGCUGUUAGUGUAAUUAGGCAAAUAGUGUGAAAUGUAAGCAGCAUGCAGGGAACUGGGAAAAGAAGCUACUAUGGCUUCUUUUGUCCUGUGAUUUUGCAGACCUGGCCUUUAUGUCUGAACUUGGGCAACUGUGAUUUAUUUUUAAAGUAUUCAGUUUGAGCAAACCUGGAUUAGACCUUUGUUUCAGAUGCUGCUUUGAUAACUAACCACAGUUAAGAUCAGUGACAGUUUAAUGUUUUGAUGUUAUUCAGAAAUGAAAACAGAAGCUUUCAGUCUUCUCGCUGUGUAUGCAUGAGAAUAUAAAAGGAGAUGAAAUAUUAAACCAUAGACUGAAUUGAGCCACUGUGCCUUUAAUAUUUUUUGUACUGAGAGAUCAUUACAAGGAUGGAAUAAGACCAUGAACUCCUUUAAAAAGGUGUAAUGACAUGUCUCCUGUACUGUUUUUAAACAUUUUAAGAUCUAUUUUUGAUCUCUCUAACAGAACACCUGUUCUCAAGUAUUAUUAGGAUAUGUACCAUUACUUCUAAAAUACAGAAUGGUUUCGUAUGCUGUUUUGCUGGUAGUAUUUUUAACUGUUUGGAUUUUCCAUCACCAAGGACUUGGUUCAUUCUUCACCAGAGAUCAUAAUUUUUUGCUACUUGGAUAAGUUGUUUUUAAGGUUGUGUUUGUGUGCUUCCUUCUCAUCUCCCUCCCCUUUCUGCACAUCAGAAGGGGAUAGUAGAAACUUUCAUGCCCAGUUUUUAAAAAGCACUGUGAAGGCCAAACUUGGCAAACUGGUGUUUGUUUAAACAGUGGUUUCAAAAGCAAGGUUUGCUGUCAUGAAGCAUAGCAUAAUAACCACAAUUUCUUUAGUUUUGACAUCUUGUGCAUGAAAGAAGAGAGGCAGUGUAGGUGUUUCACUACCUAAUCCUUAGUUGAUGGUAGAAUUCAAGCUAAUAGCAAAACAAGAUUUAAUAGCUAUUAGUACCUUUAAGUCUUCCACAUUGUUAUGGUUCAUACAUCUAUUAAUAAUUAUUUCUUACCUCAGUCAUCAUGAAGGCUGUUUCUUAUAGCUACCAUGCAAUGUCAGGCUAUGCAUAGUACUUUUCAAGCUGUUCAGUCUCAUGUCUACCUCUUGGUAUCCCUAUUAAACUUUUCACAAUGAUUUAAUGUAAUUGAUAAGUGAAUAUACUAGAAUCAGUGGUUGCACUGUUUUGAUAAACUUUUUUUCCCCUAGCCAAGACAAGUGGAUAACAACAAUUUGCAUGAAUAGGUAGCAAAACUAGGAAUGAAUUGUAAGAACAAACAUGCUGCCGAUGCGUAGUGUUUAAUUGUGGUUUGAUUAUGCAACAAGGGAUCAGAUUUUAAUAGCUGUACAGGACGGGAACCCCAAAAGUCAGGUAGUGAGAUAGGUUCCAGCUGUGUGUGCAUGUGUGUGCUUAUGUUUGCAUGCUUAUGUAUGUGUGCUAAAUUGACAGUGGCACGACUAAAUAUUAAAAACUAUUGACUGUGAUACCACAACAGUAAUUCUAUUUCUUCUCCUUCUCAAGGCAUUUUUGCUUACUAUGACUAUUUUACCCCCAGGGGCCUGAACUAGCCAAGGUGCCUCAGGUUCAAGAAAAAUGGAAGAAAAGAAACCACCUGUGUCAAAGAUGAUAUAUAGUUUAUGGAAUACAAUGAUGAAAUAUGGAUGCAGGGCAUAAAGAAGCCAAAGAAUGCUUAUGCUUUCCUUUAUCUAUGCUGAUAUUGGUUCCCUGAAUAGGCCAGGGGAUUCUCCAUGUGCCUCCAAAUUUGCCUGGGUGAGUGAAGUGUCAAUUCCUCUCCCCGAGCCAAGGACAAAAGACAGUGUCUCUUGCCAUGGAUUUUGUAAAGGUCCUCUCUUCUACUGUUGUAAGUCUAUCAAUACGCAAGCUGUAACCCAUCCCACCCAUUUUCCUGAGACAAAGAGGGCAUGACGUUUCUUCAUUAAGGUAAACCAUUUUGUUCUCACAGCAAAAGCGUCCCUUAUUUCCAGAAAAGUUGGGAAAGGCACCUUCAAGGCAUCUUCCUAACAAGCUGAAAGACAUAGGGCUUGACUUGUCUUUAACAAACAACCUUGGCUUUUGAACAGUGGGAAGGUUCACUAAACUGCCCGUUGAACCUUAAUAACCUUGCCUUUCUUCUGUAUUUCCCUUAUAGUACAAGACCAAGUGGGGAAAGUUAACUUUUAUUUACAGUAAAUGUUUCCUUUAAAAGAAAGUAUGAUCAUAGUGGUUUGUAAGAAAAUGUCUUAAAAGAACUGUCCUAAAUAAAAUGUCCCUGACCCGACUGGUUUUCACAACUGUUGUCCUCUUUCAAACAUAACAUAUCUUGGCAAAGUGCUCAAGCACAUAGUGUGGCCUGAGUCCAGGUAUUCUUGGAUGAAUGAUUAUUUAGAUGUGUUUCAAUCUGGCUUUCUGCCAGUUCUGAGUCUGAAACCCUGCUGAAUGACCUUGGCAUGAAAAUGGACAAGGGGUUGAAACUAUGCUUUUUUCUCCUGGAGUGCUAUCUCCUUUUUCAACUUGUGAUCUUUGGGAGAUGACAGAAAUUCUAUACUAGGAUUUAGAUGUUCUAGAGUGAAUAAGGAUAGAAAAAUUGAAGGUUAAUCCAGACAAGAUACAAAUACUAUACCUUGAAGGUUCUUGUGAUCUAGGAAUAGGUGUUCAGCCUGUUUCUGCUGGAGUCAUGAUCUCAGUUUGAUACUCCUGGAUCCAGGUCAGGUUUGGCUGUUGCAUGAACUGCUUACUUUCCUUAAGAAGUUGGACCUGCCUCAGUUGUCAAAAUUCUAGUUGCUUCCCAAUUGGUUAAUUAUAAUACUUUUCAUGUGGGAUUAAUUUUGAAAAGGGUUCUCAAAUUUCAAUUGAACUAUAAUUUAAAUACAAGGAUACUGUUUAGAGUGGGUAGAUAAAAACAGUAAUUUUAUACUAGCUGCCACUGGUUACUAAUUUGUUCCCAAGGUCACUUUAAUGUGCUAAUUAUGCCUGCUAAAAUUUUAAAUGGUUUGGGACUUGAGUCCCUAAUGAAUUGUCUGCACUUAUAUUAAUUGUCCUGACAUUUGAGAUUAUCUUUAGAGAUGCAUUGUGCCCACUGUCUCAACUAAGGUGAAUAGUGUACAAGGGACAGGGCCUUUUCAUAAUGGUGCCAGUACUCUAGAUUUCUCUGCCAAAGAAAGUCUGGCUGUUGCUUGUCUUUUGAUGAACAGCUAAGAUGCACUUCUUUAUGUAGGCUUUUUCAAGUAAGUUUUGGUAAUGUUUUUAUAGAUUUUUUUAAAACUUUCAGACUAAUUUAUUUUAUCAUCUUUCUGUUUUAUAUUGUUAGCCACCUUGAAUAUUUUUGUUUACCAUCAUAAUGUUGUCAUAUUAAACAUCAGUCUUAUUAGUCUUAGUAGUUAGGGUAUAUGCACUGCAAUACAGUUGACAAUUUAAUUGUUAGCCCUUCCUGGCUUGUGUCCCUAAUAGAAAUGGGUAUUUCAAUCCAUAUAGAAGAUUGCUGCAAGAGACAAGGCCUUCUCACUUGUCACCCCACUUAAGGAAUGCCCUCCCCAAAGGGGUUUCCUGGCACCUGCAUUGCUAUCCUUUUGGUACCAUGGAAAGAUCUCCAAAAUUCCAUUUUGGAAACCCUAGUUCUCUCCUUAGUUUGGAGUCUACAUUGAGCAGGAAGUUUGGACCUAAUGACCUCAUUGGCUCCUUUCAGCAGUACUAUUCUAUGAUACUAAAUUUUUAUGACUGUUUUAUUUAUUCCUUUGCUAAUAGUUUUGUACUUUUAUUCAUUCUAUACUUUCUAGCAUUUUAGGGAUAUUGAUGUGUACAUUGUAUUAGGUUCAUGGGGCAUGUGGGUGGAGAAUACAUCAUCAUACAGAUGGCUUGGGGGGCGGGGAUAUAAAUUCCUGACUUGCCAUUCCGUGGAAGCUUCAAGACCUGAAAAAGUUGUGCACUCUGGUGCUUUUUAUGCUAUUCAGAGGCAUGUUUAUUUUAUUUAUUUAUUUAUUUAGGAGGCUUCUAUGCCGCCCCAUUCGCCGAUGUUUACUUAGAAGCUGUGGUUGUGAAGUCCCCUGACACUGAAUAAUGUUUGACUAAUGAAGUAUACAGCUGCAGUAGGUUGGCUGUCUGUAAUGCUUCAGCGAUAAAAUAUCCUCAGAACUAAACAGUACCUGGUGAAAAGCUUGUAAUCCUAGAAAAAUGCAAAUUGGUUUCUACUGGUAUUGAUACUUCUGUUUUAUUUGUGAGGGAAAGAAACAAUUAGGUAAAUUUUACUAAUGUUCAUAAUUUGACAACUGAUUCCACAACAUACUAGAUUCUAGUACAGUAUUUCAUUAGUAUCUGACAAAAAUCUUUGAGAAUAUUCUGUAUUCAUCCAAAUGUCUAGCGCAGUCAUCUUGGUUCUCUAUACAUUGCAUGGCAGCAAUGUAACCAUUCUUGUCAUUUGUAUAAUCCUCAUUAAUAUAAUCUCUGAGUUGUCAGUCACUUAUAUGAGCCUCUGUUCCAGCUGAUCAUAUAUCAGUGCCCUUGCCCUAGAAGUACUCCUACUGUUUGUAAGCCUAGUAGCAAGCAUGUUUUGCUCUAAGUAUCUAUAAUAUCUGCUUUAUAAUAUAUUAACCCAUAAACCCUAUAAUAACCAUAAUAUGCUUAAAAGCAUGGGUGAAAGAUUCCCCCAAAUAUAUUUUGCAAGUUGAUAAUAUCUAUGUAAGUCUCAUGUUUAAAUUAUGUGGAUUUUUUUUCAAGUCUACAGUCUGUUUACAGAAAGUUUUUGUCUUUCACUGUGCUAUUCUAAAGCUUUCACUUAUACAUAAUAGUUCAAUUUUCAUUCUUCUUCCCAAAUGAAAUCUAUUUGACACUGCAGUAUCCAUGCAUCUACAGUUAAGUGCACAUGUCUAAUAGAAAUUAGCGGGACUUAAUUGUGAUCAACGCUAGCUGAAAUAAGACUCUUUCUUCUAUCAUUUUGACAUAGCUAAAUUUUGGAAAGAAUGGAAAGAAAUAAAGUUGAAUCAUUUUUAUGAUGUAAAAUGAAAAGCUGCUAUGAUGGGCACGAUAAGGAAGUAUUUAUAUUAUGUAUUUCUGCUUCAUUCAUUCAUAUUUUAAUAUGAAUGAAGUUACAGGAGAUUCCUAUGUUGAGUGGGGUGCUAGUGCAGCUCUUUCAUGGGGCCAAAUUUCCUAAAAUAAUUUUUCUUAAAAAUUCAACAAAUCUAUAGAUAAACUGACAUUUACUCAAUUGUGCAACUGUGUUAGGAAUUGUAAAAUGUUUGACUUUUCUUAAACUGUUAAUAAUGAAUCUCUUGGGAAAUGGUGAGUGUCCUGAUAAAAUUCUGGCACAUCUUACGUAGCAAAAAUAAAGAAAUUUUAUUUCAGCUUAUGAAAUAUCAGAGUGAUACACACCACUGUCAUUUUUAUAUAUUUAAUGCCCCAAAAUGUUUUCGAGAUAUAUAUAUCUGUAAGAAUGUGCACAGUAUCACACUAUUGAAUUGCUUUUGCACCAAGGGCAAGCAAAUCCUAGCUUGUAAACUAAGAUUGCAAAUAAUGCAAGCCUCUUGGGGUACUACCAUUGUCACAAGAGAAGGAAGAAUGUUUAAGCUUUUUCUUUGCUUUUGGGCUUCCUCUUCUUGCUAUAUAUGUGGAAGAUCUGUUUCUGUCUUCUUGACAAGGCAUCACAGGAUUGGGAGCAGGUAUAAAACAACAAAAAGGAGCUGAAAGUAAACUUACUUGAAAGCAAAAUGAUGAGACCAGCAUCUAGCAUAUGGACACAUUUUCACACUGCAAGUUCUUCUGAGGGGAAAGAAGCAUUUCCAGCUAAUACUGGGAUGUCAAAAGAUAUCUUUGUGUUAUGUAAGAAGUGAACUGUAGGUGGAAAAAAACCAUGAAUCUGAGUGAGGAGGACCAUGCAGAAGUGUAAGCAGGCUUUCCCGUUGUUCUCAUUCCAGAAAUCCUCUUUCUGUUCCUUCUAUGACACCAGCAUCAUCAUAAAGAGCUUUUCCAUCAGCAAGGUGCAUCUUCAAGUAAACAAACAUUAAAAAGAACCACAUCCCCCCACUCAUCCAAAACCCCCCUAAGUAUAUUCACUUACAGACAAGUUGACACCUGAAGAUGAGAAAAAAAAUAUGCAAGCUCUUGCAUGAGCAAUGUAUUCUUUUGGAAUCCCAUUGUUAAUAAUGGAAAACACCUACUGACAAGAAGUUUUUAGAUUACUAAGGGGAUCACACAUUUUUGUGAGCAGACAUUCUUUGAGGUAUCUUCCUUUACAGUCAAUGUGGAUGCAUAAUGGAAUCUGCAAGGAAGUUUUGAUGAUGCAUUGUGUCUUGCAAUACAUAUGGAUGGAUGAUCAGAUGCGAAAGGGAAAGGAAUCAUAACUGUUGUGAUACCACAUCAGCCUGUUUAUUUUCAGAUGCUUUGAAAUGGGAGAAUAGACAUGCUGCAGAGUAAAAUGUGUAAAGUCCUACAUGAGGAUGGUAAAGUAUUAGUUUUGUGGACUUAAAAUACAAGAUAUGAAAAUAGCAUUCGAUAAGUAUCCACAUACUAUUGCAAUUGAAUAUGUAUGCCAUGGACUAAAUUUGUUUCUUCAUGAUAUCAUGAAGUUUAACUGUACACCCUCUAAAAGAUCUAUAUAUGAGCAAAAGUUAUAAAGCACAUUAAAGUUGUAUUGUAGUGGCAUUCUUCAAGAAGAAGCAAGAAGAAAUAAAUGCAAUGGAUUGAAUAAUGAAACUGAAGCUCUGUAAUGCAACUUCAUGGAGCAGAAUGGUGCUCUUUGAAACUUUACCCCCCCCCCAAAAAAAACCUGUACUGAGUGGCCAAGGUCUUGUACUUUGUACAAAUAGAUUAGUCUGAUUAUAAGGAGAAGGUGGUGAGGUAGAGAUGGGUAGAUGAGCUGGCAGUUUUAAGGUUACCUAGUGAAGAUUCUCAAGCAGGGUGUGAGAACUAUUCUGCCUUGGGAAAAGGAAGAAGCAUUUCAAAGCUGGGUAGGGAGAUGGUGGAGAAAGAAUUCCUUAACCCUGUCAGGGAAUGGCAGGUGAAACAAAUGGACCAAUUUAUGAAUGUAUGAUUUUUCCACCAUCUAAUCCUUAAGCAGCAGGAACUACCCUGAUGGUGGAAUUAGAUGCUUUUCUGAAAGGGGGGGCAAGAGGGGAAGUUUCAGUUUGUAUUCAGUUCUUCGCAUAGACUGAUGCUUCUCCCGCAUCUCAGGGAGAAUGCUGCUUUGAUUUGUAUUUAUUUAUGCUCUGUUAAGCUUUAAUAAAAGGACUACACUUCUGAACUCUCAUCUGAGUCUGUGGGAAAGCAGAGGAAUGAGGGAGAGACCUGCUCAUCAAGAAACAAUGGUAGCUGAAGAUCUUGAAAUACCCAGGAGUGGUAGGAACAUUAUAAUUGAUUAGGAUGACUUAUGAAUUCAACUGCAGAACUCCUUGAAGCUCCUAAAACCAGUUUCUUCAGCAGUUAUUGCAAGAGAAUCAAGAACUGCAUUUUGGUUGAAAAUUCCUACCAAAUGGCCAAGGUACAAACUGUUUUUGAAAAUUCAAGUCUGUUUCCAUUUACAAGUACCAAAGAAACUAAAGUGAAAGAUUAUAUUAAGAAACAUGAAGAAUGCUGUUGUAAUUAAAUUCAUGCUGCUGGAUUCAAGAUUCAAAGACAGAAAUUUAAAUGAGGCUGCAUUUGAAUUGAUUACAAACAAGUAAUGGUGUGAAGGUACUUUCAAAUGUUGCAGGAUACAGAACAUCGUUAUUUGGUCCAGGAAUGCCAGUUUCUGAGAUUCUGCCAAACGUUUUCCUCGUGCAACAUGGAAGCAAGGCCUCUUUUGUUUUCUGCCUACUUCUUUUUCUUGCAUCCUUCUUCAGAUUCCUCCAUCAUCUUCAUAAUGCAAAGGAAAUAAAUCAAAAUUUGACAGUACACUACAUCAAGAAAUAAACUAUUGUGUGAAAGAUUAGAAAGCUUGUUUCAAUCUGGGCAAAUCCUCAGGUUUUAGCAAUCUAUAAUGAGGACAAAAAUGUAUACAUAGAAGUAGAAAGUGAAACUGAUAGUUAUCCCUCAAAAAUUAGACUGAUUAAAUUUUAUGGGUAUUCAUAUAAUUUUGAUUAGACCUCAUUCCCAUCCCUCCUAGAUUAUUUCCUGUCCUUUUUAUGGGAUAUGUGCUACAUGUCUGCUUGGUGCGGUGGGAGAGAGAACCAGAGGAGACAUAAUUUUCUUUAUAAUAAUUACAAAGUUGAAAAAUAUAAUAAUUCUUCAUAAUUUAUGAUUUUUCUAAUAUAUAACCUAUGUCACAUGAUUGGUUGUGCUAUCUCAGCCCAGAGAACUAUGAAUAAACCCAGCAGUAUUUGUUUUGUUU